AUUGAAGGAUGUUUAUGCUCAUUGGGUCCCUGAAGCCAAUAUCAUUACCACCAACUUGUGGUCCGCUGAGCUCUCAAAGUUGGCUGCCAAUGCAUUUUUGGCACAAAGAAUCUCUUCUGUGAAUGCCAUGUCAGCUCUCUGUGAGGCUACAGGAGCAAACGUUUCACAGGUGGCAUAUGCUGUUGGUAAGGACUCGAGAAUUGGUCCCAAGUUCCUCAACGCAAGUGUUGGUUUUGGUGGAUCUUGCUUCCAGAAGGAUAUUCUGAACCUGGUUUACAUUUGCGAGUGCAAUGGUCUGCCUGAGGUUGCUGAAUACUGGAAACAAGUUAUCAAGAUUAAUGACUAUCAGAAGAGUCGUUUUGUCAAUCGUGUUGUUGCCUCUAUGUUCAACACAGUGUCAAACAAGAAAGUUGCAAUUCUAGGUUUUGCUUUCAAGAAGGACACUGGCGAUACUCGAGAGACCCCUGCAAUUGAUGUAUGCAAGGGACUAGUGGGGGAUAAUGCUAAAUUGAGCAUAUACGAUCCUCAGGUGCAGGAGGACCAAAUCCAGAGGGACCUCUCCAUGAAGAAGUUUGACUGGGAUCAUCCCCUUCACCUCCAACCAAUGAGUCCCACAUCCGUGAAACAACAAGUCAGUGUUACUAUGGAUGCCUACGGUGCAACAAAAGAUGCCCAUGCUGUCUGCAUUCUCACAGAGUGGGAUGAGUUCAAGACCCUUGAUUUCCAGAAGAUAUAUGAUAACAUGCAAAAACCCGCUUUUGUUUUUGAUGGCAGGAAUGUUGUGAAUGCUGAAAAGCUAAGAGAGAUUGGGUUUAUCGUCUACUCAAUUGGUAAGCCUCUCGAUGCCUGGCUUAAGGACAUGCCUGCUGUCGCUUAAGAGCCUUACAUUGCUCGAGUGACUUGUUUUGGUCUUAAAGAUAUUAGUUAUCAGACAAUCAUCAGCUGGGAUUCUUUACUAUUUUUUUUACCACUUCAAUUUCUGUUUCCAUUUUAUCCAUUGUAGUCAUAAGACCACCAUCGUCACUAUCUUGAGUCACAUGUAAGAUGUUUUCUGUUUCUUUUGUAUUGAUGAUACUUGUUUUUAUCAUUUACUUGUCAUGUCGGAGGAUUUAUUUGUUCGAUUAUGAAGGGUAUUUAAGUUUUGA
Molecule: unclassified non-coding RNA, 1145 nt
Filed under: Hevea brasiliensis (rubber tree)
Lineage: Eukaryota; Viridiplantae; Streptophyta; Magnoliopsida; Malpighiales; Euphorbiaceae
Source: RNAcentral